Molecule: ribosomal RNA, 440 nt
Filed under: uncultured bacterium
Lineage: Bacteria
Description: partial 16S ribosomal RNA
Rfam family: Bacterial small subunit ribosomal RNA
Source: RNAcentral
CCUACGGGAGGCAGCAGUGGGGAAUAUUGCACAAUGGGGGAAACCCUGAUGCAGCAACGCCGCGUGAAGGAAGAAGUAUUUCGGUAUGUAAACUUCUAUCAGCAGGGAAGAAAAUGACGGUACCUGACUAAGAAGCCCCGGCUAACUACGUGCCAGCAGCCGCGGUAAUACGUAGGGGGCAAGCGUUAUCCGGAUUUACUGGGUGUAAAGGGAGCGUAGGCGGCUUAGCAAGUCAGAAGUGAAAGCCCGGGGCUCAACCCCGGGACUGCUUUUGAAACUGUUGUACUGGAGUGCAGGAGGGGUAAGCGGAAUUCCUAGUGUAGCGGUGAAAUGCGGAGAUAUUAGGAGGAACACCAGUGGCGAAGGCGGCUUACUGGACUGUAAAUGACGCUGAGGCUCGAAAGCGUGGGGAGCAAACAGGAUUAGAUACCCGAGUAGUC